Molecule: long non-coding RNA, 623 nt
Filed under: Apteryx rowi (Okarito brown kiwi)
Lineage: Eukaryota; Metazoa; Chordata; Aves; Apterygiformes; Apterygidae
Description: lncRNA (ENSARWG00000004472.1)
Source: RNAcentral
CAGCGGUGCCAGGCCAGGCUGGGCGCUCCCUGGCAAGGCAUAUCAGCUUGGCAUGCCAGCGCCUCCGUGACUUGCUUCCUGACAACUCCAUGGGGCAGAGCCCUUCGCCAGCAGUGUUUGGCCACGCACUCCGAGUCCUGCAUGGCCUCAGUGAGGAAAUACAGCGUCACCUCAGAGACCUUCAGAGGGAGAGGGAGGCCCAGAGGUGCUCUGUCCUCCACCUUUGGAGAGAGAAGAGACAAAGCAAAUAUCCAUACUUCUGCUCCACCUCUUCCCUGUCCUCAAGCACCAUGCCCUGCCUCCGGCAGCAAAACUUCAGGCGCUUCAGAGUCCUCCACCAAAUCCAAAACUGCAUGCAAGAGCUACAGGCAGAGAACACCACCCGCCGCACGGGCAACCUGGAGAACCUGACUGUCCUGACAGGAGAGCUGGGCACGCAGCAAGAGAAAAGGUAUGGGGACACCCUGGGUAGGUGUGACUAUCUCUUGCCACAGCCUCAUGAAAGGAUGAGUCCAAAGCAAGCAAGUGAUGCAGAGCACCACUGCAGCAUGCCCAGCCCAGCUGGGACAUGUAGCCUGCGUCAAGUGCACAGAGCACUCCAAGGAGACAGUGAAGCGCAGUGA